GAUGAAGAACGUAGCGAAAUGCGAUAAGUAAUGUGAAUUGCAGAAUUCAGUGAAUCAUCGAAUCUUUGAACGCUCAUUGCGCCCGCCAGUAUUCUGGCGGGCAUGCCUGUUCGAGCGUCAUUUCAACCAUCAAGCCCCAGGCUUGUGUUGGGGACCUGCGGCUGCCGCAGGCCCUGAAAACCAGUGGCGGGCUCGCUGUCACACCGGGCGUAGUAGAUUUUAUCUCGCUCAGGGCGUGCUGCGGGUUCCGGCCGUUAAAAAGCCUUUUUUACCCAAGGUUGACCUCGGAUCAGGUAGGAAGACCCGCUGAACUUAAGCAUAUCAAUAAGCGGAGGA
RNAcentral lists this unclassified non-coding RNA (336 nucleotides) under soil metagenome. RNAcentral's name for it is "partial contains 5.8S ribosomal RNA, internal transcribed spacer 2, and large subunit ribosomal RNA". The stretch from base 1 to 120 matches the Rfam family "5.8S ribosomal RNA", at positions 35 to 154 of the family's 154-position model. The record is from RNAcentral.